UACGGGGGGGGUAAGCGUUGUUCGGAAUUACUGGGCGUAAAGGGCUCGUAGGCGGCCAACUAAGUCGGAUGUGAAAUCCCCAGGCUUAACCUGGGAACUGCAUCCGAUACUGGAUGGCUUGAAUCCGGGAGAGGGAUGCAGAAUUCCACGUGUAGCGGUGAAAUGCGUAGAUAUGUGGAGGAAUACCGAUGGCGAAGGCAGCCUCCUGGGCCAACACUGACGCUCAUGCACGAAAGCGUGGGGAGCAAACAGG
This 253-nucleotide ribosomal RNA is filed under the name uncultured bacterium. RNAcentral's name for it is "partial 16S ribosomal RNA". It matches the Rfam family "Bacterial small subunit ribosomal RNA", at positions 524 to 776 of the family's 1533-position model. The record is from RNAcentral.